CUCGGGUGGAGCCGCGCGCGCAGUGUGGAGCGAUGACGUCACCGGGGAGUCGUUUUAACAGGAGCAGUGGGCCAUUACUUCCUGCGCGCGCACUAACUAACUACACCCUGUACUGUUCACUCCAUCCACCUGUACAGUUUCCCUUCACUGCAACUAAGAUUUCCAAACCCUGCUCCAUCAUGAUGUCCCUGUGCACAAAGCAGCUCCAUGAAGAAAGACAUGGUGUGGAGGUAAAGCUUGGAGAAAGUGGAAGAUCUGGAGUGUCCUGCACAGAGCCCUGACUCGGACUCAACCCCACUGAACAACUUUGGGAUGAGUCUCGUCAACGUCCCAACAUCAGAAUCUGAUCUCACUAAUGCUCUUGUAGCUGAAUGAACACACAUACUGUACGCUCUAGGAUCUAGUGGAAAAACCUUCACAGAGUGUAGAGCAUGUUUGAAUAGAACAUUAUUAUCAAAUAUAUGUAAAGAUGAGUGUUGGGACGUAACCAGCUCAUGAGCGUUACGGUGCUGUAGUUCUUUAGGCAACACACUCAUUUUAUCUCAACACAACAAAAGCCUCAGUGAUGUCGUGGUGGUGUUUCGAUGGAACGAUUAUGACUUGCUGUAUCCCUUACAUCUUUACUUUUGAUUGAACCGAAUUGCAAAGACACAAUUCCAUUUUUGCAUAAUAUUUUAAUGUUGGCUAAAAUGAAGAGCUUCGACACUUUUACACGACUAACAAACACAACUGUGAGUGAACACAUGUUGGUCCGUAUCUGCUACCAAGAUCUCCACUGUUGCUACCUCAGGCCAGCUGAGUACAUACACACACACACACACACACACACACACACAUAUAUAUA
Hemibagrus wyckioides is the source of this 844-nucleotide long non-coding RNA. RefSeq lists it as uncharacterized. NCBI's taxonomy places the organism in Eukaryota, Metazoa, Chordata, Actinopteri, Siluriformes, Bagridae. The transcript has 2 exons. The record is from RefSeq and is a predicted model, not a curated record.